Molecule: ribosomal RNA, 115 nt
Filed under: Danio rerio (zebrafish)
Lineage: Eukaryota; Metazoa; Chordata; Actinopteri; Cypriniformes; Danionidae
Source: RNAcentral
GUUGGUAGCUAGCUCUCUGCAAGUCCCACAUGGUCGCCAACUGAAUCUAAGCAGGGCUGUGCCCAGUCAGUACCUGGAUGGGAGAGCACAUGGAAAAGUUAGGUUGCUGUCGGAA